UACGGAGGGUGCAAGCGUUAAUCGGAAUUACUGGGCGUAAAGCGCACGCAUGCGGUUGGAUAAGUUAGAUGUGAAAGCCCCGGGCUCAACCUGGGAAUUGCAUUUAAAACUGUCCAGCUAGAGUCUCGUAGAGGGGGGUAGAAUUCCAGGUGUAGCGGUGAAAUGCGUAGAGAUCUGGAGGAAUACCGGUGGCGAAGGCGGCCCCCUGGACAAAGACUGACGCUCAGGUGCGAAAGCGUGGGGAGCAAACAGGAUUAGAUACCCUGGUAGUCCACGCCGUAAACGAUGUCGAUUUGGAGGCUGUGUCCUUGAGACGUGGCUUCCGGAGCUAACGCGUUAAAUCGACCGCCUGGGGAGUACGGCCGCAAGGUUAAA
This 375-nucleotide ribosomal RNA is filed under the name uncultured bacterium. RNAcentral's name for it is "bacterial SSU rRNA". It matches the Rfam family "Bacterial small subunit ribosomal RNA", at positions 524 to 898 of the family's 1533-position model. The record is from RNAcentral.